This 253-nucleotide ribosomal RNA is filed under the name uncultured bacterium. Its description in RNAcentral is "partial 16S ribosomal RNA". It matches the Rfam family "Bacterial small subunit ribosomal RNA", at positions 524 to 776 of the family's 1533-position model. The record is from RNAcentral.
UACAGAGGGGGCAAGCGUUGUUCGGAAUUACUGGGCGUAAAGGGCGCGUAGGCGGCCUGCUAAGUCGAACGUGAAAUCCCCGAGCUCAACUCGGGAACUGCGUCCGAUACUGGCAGGCUUGAAUCCGGGAGAGGGAUGCGGAAUUCCUGGUGUAGCGGUGAAAUGCGCAGAUAUCAGGAGGAACACCGGUGGCGAAGGCGGGUCUCUGGGCCGUAACUGACGCUGAGGCACGAAGGUCAGGGGAGCAAACGGG